RNAcentral lists this ribosomal RNA (497 nucleotides) under uncultured bacterium. RNAcentral describes it as "partial 16S ribosomal RNA". It matches the Rfam family "Bacterial small subunit ribosomal RNA", at positions 28 to 507 of the family's 1533-position model. The record is from RNAcentral.
GAUGAACGCUGGCGGCGUGCCUAAUACAUGCAAGUCGAGCGAACAGAUGAGGAGCUUGCUCCUCUGACGUUAGCGGCGGACGGGUGAGUAACACGUGGAUAACCUACCUAUAAGACUGGGAUAACUUCGGGAAACCGGAGCUAAUACCGGAUAAUAUAUUGAACCGCAUGGUUCAAUAGUGAAAGACGGUUUUGCUGUCACUUAUAGAUGGAUCCGCGCCGCAUUAGCUAGUUGGUAAGGUAACGGCUUACCAAGGCAACGAUGCGUAGCCGACCUGAGAGGGUGAUCGGCCACACUGGAACUGAGACACGGUCCAGACUCAUACGGGAGGCAGCAGUAGGGAAUCUUCCGCAAUGGGCGAAAGCCUGACGGAGCAACGCCGCGUGAGUGAUGAAGGUCUUCGGAUCGUAAAACUCUGUUAUUAGGGAAGAACAAAUGUGUAAGUAACCAUGCACGUCUUGACGGUACCUAAUCAGAAAGCCACGGCUAACUACGUG